AUCCAGCUGACGAGUCUCAAAUAGGACGAAACGCGCGUCCUGGAU
Non-coding RNA from Schistosoma mansoni, 45 nucleotides. Lineage: Eukaryota; Metazoa; Platyhelminthes; Trematoda; Strigeidida; Schistosomatidae. The record is from Rfam.